Molecule: ribosomal RNA, 433 nt
Filed under: uncultured bacterium
Lineage: Bacteria
Description: partial 16S ribosomal RNA
Rfam family: Bacterial small subunit ribosomal RNA
Source: RNAcentral
AACGAACGCUGGCGGCAUGCCUAACACAUGCAAGUCGAACGAGACCUUCGGGCCUAGUGGCGCACGGGUGCGUAACGCGUGGGAACCUGCCCUUAGGUUCGGAAUAACUCCCCGAAAGGGGUGCUAAUACCGGAUAAUGUCUUCCGACCAAAGAUUUAUCGCCUUUGGAUGGGCCCGGGUUGGAUUAGCCAGUUGGUAGGGUAAAAGCCUACCAAGGGGACGAUGCAUAGCUGGUUUGAGAGGAUGAUCAGCCACACUGGGGCUGAGACACGGCCCAGACUCCUACGGGAGGCAGCAGUGGGGAAUACUGGACAAUGGGCGAAGGCCUGAUCCAGCAAUGCCGGGUGAGUGAUGAAGGCCGUAGGGUUGUAAAGCUCUUUUACCCGGGAUGAUAAUGACGGUACCGGGAGAAUAAGCACCGGCUAACUCCGUG